AGUGAACGCUGGCGGUAGGCCUAACACAUGCAAGUCGAACGGCAGCACAGUAAGAGCUUGCUCUUACGGGUGGCGAGUGGCGGACGGGUGAGGAAUACAUCGGAAUCUACUUUUUCGUGGGGGAUAACGUAGGGAAACUUACGCUAAUACCGCAUACGAUCUACGGGUGAAAGCAGGGGAUCUUCGGACCUUGCGCGUUUGAAUGAGCCGAUGUCGGAUUAGCUAGUUGGCGGGGUAAAGGCCCACCAAGGCGACGAUCCGUAGCUGAUCUGAGAGGAUGAUCGGCCACACUGGAACUGAGACACGGUCCAGACUCCUACGGGAGGCAGCAGUGGGGAAUAUUCGACAAUGGGCGCAAGCCUGAUCCAGCAAUGCCGCGUGAGUGAAGAAGGCCUUCGGGUUGUAAAGCCCUUUUGUUGGGAAAGAAAAGAAGCAGGUUAAUACCCCGCUGUUCUGACGGUACCCAAAGAAUAAGCACCGGCUAACUUCGUG
Molecule: ribosomal RNA, 492 nt
Filed under: uncultured bacterium
Lineage: Bacteria
Description: partial 16S ribosomal RNA
Rfam family: Bacterial small subunit ribosomal RNA
Source: RNAcentral